UACGAAGGGGGCUAGCGUUGUUCGGAUUUACUGGGCGUAAAGCGCACGUAGGCGGAUCCUUAAGUCAGGGGUGAAAUCCCGGGGCUCAACCCCGGAACUGCCUUUGAUACUGGGGAUCUCGAGUCCGGGAGAGGUGAGCGGAACUGCGAGUGUAGAGGUGAAAUUCGUAGAUAUUCGCAAGAACACCAGUGGCGAAGGCGGCUCACUGGCCCGGUACUGACGCUGAGGUGCGAAAGCGUGGGGAGCAAACAGG
Molecule: ribosomal RNA, 253 nt
Filed under: uncultured bacterium
Lineage: Bacteria
Description: partial 16S ribosomal RNA
Rfam family: Bacterial small subunit ribosomal RNA
Source: RNAcentral